RNAcentral lists this ribosomal RNA (245 nucleotides) under uncultured bacterium. Its description in RNAcentral is "partial 16S ribosomal RNA". It matches the Rfam family "Bacterial small subunit ribosomal RNA", at positions 57 to 305 of the family's 1533-position model. The record is from RNAcentral.
GCAAGUCGAACGCGAAAGCACCUUCGGGUGUGAGUAGAGCGGCGGACGGGUGAGUAACGCGUAGGAAUCUAUCCAGUAGUGGGGGACAACAUGGGGAAACUCAUGCUAAUACCGCAUACGUCCUAAGGGAGAAAGCGGGGGAUCUUCGGACCUCGCGCUAUUGGAGGAGCCUGCGUUGGAUUAGCUAGUUGGUGGGGUAAAGGCCCACCAAGGCGACGAUCCAUAGCUGGUCUGAGAGGAUGAUC